This 320-nucleotide ribosomal RNA is filed under the name uncultured eukaryote. RNAcentral describes it as "partial 18S ribosomal RNA". It matches the Rfam family "Eukaryotic small subunit ribosomal RNA", at positions 1470 to 1796 of the family's 1831-position model. The record is from RNAcentral.
CCCUUAGAUGUUCUGGGCUGCACGCGUGUUACAAUCGGGAGUCCAACAAGAUUGCAAAUCCUAGUGGAUGAGUGGUUCUUCGAAAUUUUCUGAAGACUGGGAUAGUUGAUUGAAAUUAUUCAACUCGAACGAGGAAUUCCUUGUAAUUGUAAUUCAUUAUAUUGUAAUGAAUACGUCCCUGCCCUUUGUACACACCGCCCGUCGCUCCUACCGAUUGAACGAUCCGGUGAAUUAUUUGGAGUAGCUCUGGAAGUUGCAGAACUUCCUAUGUCACGAAAUUUUGUAAACCUUAUCGUUUAGAGGAAGGAAAAGUCGUAACA